UACGGGGGGAGCAAGCGUUGUUCGGAUUUACUGGGCGUAAAGGGCGCGUAGGCGGCCUCUGCAAGUCGACUGUGAAAUCUCCGGGCUUAACCCGGAAAGGUCAGCCGAUACUGCAGGGCUAGAGUGCAGAAGGGGCAACUGGAAUUCUCGGUGUAGCGGUGAAAUGCGUAGAUAUCUGGAGGAACACCGGUGGCGAAGGCGGCAUCCUGGACCGGUAUUGACGCUGAGGCGCGAAAGCCAGGGGAGCAAACGGG
This 254-nucleotide ribosomal RNA is filed under the name uncultured bacterium. RNAcentral describes it as "partial 16S ribosomal RNA". It matches the Rfam family "Bacterial small subunit ribosomal RNA", at positions 524 to 776 of the family's 1533-position model. The record is from RNAcentral.